GUCUUAAUUGAUUCCAUCGAGCAAGAGGUGCGUGUUGAAGAGGGAGGAGCACCUAAGUUAGAUAAUGCUUCUCUGAUUCUACCAAUUGGCCAUGAAAAUUCUAGUGCCAGAUCCUUGAGCUGAAGUUUGUAUCCUUGAGCUGAAGUUUCAAUGAAUCAUCAUUCUCAUUUUUUUGAGGCAAGAUGAGGAGGACUUGUGGAUUCAGCAAGCUAUCAUUCUGAAAUU
This 225-nucleotide unclassified non-coding RNA is filed under the name Hevea brasiliensis (rubber tree). Lineage: Eukaryota; Viridiplantae; Streptophyta; Magnoliopsida; Malpighiales; Euphorbiaceae. The record is from RNAcentral.